AGAGACAGCAGCAGCCGCGGGAAUACGAAGGGUGCAAGCGUUACUCGGAAUUACUGGGCGUAAAGCGUGCGUAGGUGGUGGUUUAAGUCCGUUGUGAAAGCCCUGGGCUCAACCUGGGAAUUGCAGUGGAUACUGGGUCACUAGAGUGUGGUAGAGGAUAGUGGGAUUUCCGGUGUAGCAGUGAAAUGCGUAGAGAUCGGAAGGAACAUCUGUGGCGAAGGCGACUAUCUGGGCCAACACUGACACUGAGGCACGAAAGCGUGGGGAGCAAACAGGAUUAGAUACCCCUGUAGUCCCUGUCUCUUAUAC
This 309-nucleotide ribosomal RNA is filed under the name uncultured bacterium. RNAcentral's name for it is "partial 16S ribosomal RNA". It matches the Rfam family "Bacterial small subunit ribosomal RNA", at positions 504 to 807 of the family's 1533-position model. The record is from RNAcentral.